UGAGGAUCCCAUAAAACCCAGCCCUGCACAGCUGAGUAAUGAAUACACAUCAUGUUCUACACAAGAGACACUGUGGCACUUGUUCUAAACAGGAGCACCAAGUCUUCAAUCAGCCAGUCCCAGCUCUGCAACUCAUGGCCUGUGUGAUCCUGGUCUCAACAUGGAAGAAACUACAGGAGUUUGCUCCCGUGUUCCUUCUGAGCAACAGGCCUCUCCCUGAUGGGGGUGAGGGAAGGAUGGGACCUAUAAGAAGACGACUGCAAAUACUACCAGCUUGAGGGAACUCACCCAGGUUUGCGGGAGGUGGCUUUCAAGUGUCUUGGGCAGGCUUAUUAUGGGGCAGACAUU
Molecule: long non-coding RNA, 348 nt
Filed under: Chinchilla lanigera (long-tailed chinchilla)
Lineage: Eukaryota; Metazoa; Chordata; Mammalia; Rodentia; Chinchillidae
Description: lncRNA (ENSCLAG00000023148.1)
Source: RNAcentral